UGCAGUCGAACGAGAUCUUCGGGUCUAGUGGCGCACGGGUGCGUAACGCGUGGGAAUCUGCCCUUUGGUUCGGAAUAACAGUUGGAAACGACUGCUAAUACCGGAUGAUGACGAAAGUCCAAAGAUUUAUCGCCAGAGGAUGAGCCCGCGUAGGAUUAGCUAGUUGGUGUGGUAAAGGCGCACCAAGGCGACGAUCCUUAGCUGGUCUGAGAGGAUGAUCAGCCACACUGGGACUGAGACACGGCCCAGACUCCUACGGGAGGCAGCAGUGGGGAAUAUUGGACAAUGGGCGAAAGCCUGAUCCAGCAAUGCCGCGUGAGUGAUGAAGGCCUUAGGGUUGUAAAGCUCUUUUACCCGGGAUGAUAAUGACAGUACCGGGAGAAUAAGCUCCGGCUAACUCCGUGCCAGCAGCCGCGGUAAUACGGAGGGAGCUAGCGUUGUUCGGAAUUACUGGGCGUAAAGCGCACGUAGGCGGCUUUGUAAGUUAGAGGUGAAAGCCUGGAGCUCAACUCCAGAACUGCCUUUAAGACUGCAUCGCUUGAAUCCAGGAGAGGUGAGUGGAAUUCCGAGUGUAGAGG
Molecule: ribosomal RNA, 578 nt
Filed under: Sphingomonas sp. VPMK21
Lineage: Bacteria; Pseudomonadati; Pseudomonadota; Alphaproteobacteria; Sphingomonadales; Sphingomonadaceae
Description: bacterial SSU rRNA
Rfam family: Bacterial small subunit ribosomal RNA
Source: RNAcentral